AUGACUUGGUGCUAUUAAUAGUAUAGUAGCCUAGUUCUAUAUAUAUAUAUAUAUAUAUAUAUAUAGAGAGAGAGAGAGAGAGAGAGAGAGAGAGCAGGACUGCUGAGCCGUUUUCGAUGAUAGAAUUUUCAAAUCGACGAUCGGCUCCGCUAGACUUGAUCUAGCGUAUUUGAAGUUUCUAGAAAAUAACUUUUUGUGAUUUUUCGAUAUCAUUUACCUAGCAAUCGAAAGGAUUCAAAACCAAUAAUUUUUAACAGCUGAAAAUAAAAAUCAUAUAAAAAGUGGUGAUAUAGCACUAAAAUUUUCGAUCAGAAAUAUUAAUCUUGUUGUAGAUAGUAUAAAGAAUUUUGUAUCAAAAUUUCAUCUGAUUUGAGAACUUCUACACCAUUAAAUUUGAAAACGGCAGAUAUCAACCAUUAAAAAAUAUUGAUUUUUAAUCCUUUUGAUCACUAGGUAAAUGAUAUCAAAAAAUCGCAAAAAUUAUUUUCUACAAACUUUAAAUACCCUAGAUCAAGUCUAACGGAACCGAUCGUUGAUUCGAAAAUUCCAUCAUCAAAAACGGCUAAGGAGCAUGGAAGCCUCCGUGCUCCUGAGAGCACAGCAGCCCUGCUCUCUCU
This 617-nucleotide long non-coding RNA is filed under the name Ananas comosus (pineapple). RNAcentral describes it as "long non-coding RNA (ACOM_LNC027792)". The record is from RNAcentral. Lineage: Eukaryota; Viridiplantae; Streptophyta; Magnoliopsida; Poales; Bromeliaceae.